UGGAGUCAACAUGGCUGAACCUGCGGA
RNAcentral lists this small RNA (27 nucleotides) under Bombyx mori (domestic silkworm). RNAcentral describes it as "ovarian small RNA-34621". The record is from RNAcentral. Lineage: Eukaryota; Metazoa; Arthropoda; Insecta; Lepidoptera; Bombycidae.